RNAcentral lists this transfer RNA (72 nucleotides) under Phrynosoma platyrhinos (Desert horned lizard). RNAcentral describes it as "tRNA-OTHER". The record is from RNAcentral. Lineage: Eukaryota; Metazoa; Chordata; Lepidosauria; Squamata; Phrynosomatidae.
GCCAGUGUGGCACAGCGGUUUGGGUGUUGGACUAGGACUCUGGAAGCCAGGGUUCAAUUCCCCACUUGGCCA